UACGUAGGGGGCAAGCGUUGUCCGGAUUUAUUGGGCGUAAAGAGCGUGUAGGCGGCUGGGUAGGUCCGUUGUGAAAACUCGAGGCUCAACCUCGAGACGCCGAUGGAAACCCUCCAGCUAGAGUCCGGAAGAGGAGAGUGGAAUUCCUGGUGUAGCGGUGAAAUGCGCAGAUAUCAGGAAGAACACCCGUGGCUAAGGCGGCUCUCUGGGCCUGUCCUGACGCUGAGGCGCGAAAGCUAGGGGAGCGAACAGG
RNAcentral lists this ribosomal RNA (253 nucleotides) under uncultured bacterium. Its description in RNAcentral is "partial 16S ribosomal RNA". It matches the Rfam family "Bacterial small subunit ribosomal RNA", at positions 524 to 776 of the family's 1533-position model. The record is from RNAcentral.